AUGUCACCUUCACUGACUGCUGUGCUCGGAGUACUGAAAAAAAAAAAAACCGACUUGGACAUCUUUGAGAAAGAGAGUGCUGUUUUCAAACUCCUCUUGGAUUUGAAGCAUUGUUUUGACAUCUUAGAGAAGGAUGAAAGCCCAGGGAAUGACUCCGACUUCCUUUAGGGUGGAUCUUCUGACUUCUAUCAACCUAAUCAAGAUAGCCCCCAACGAGCAUGCUCAGAGUCAAGCUAACCUGAUAAGUCCUUGCAGGUGUGCCUGAAGGUGUAUCUCCGGGGAGAUUUCUGAUCCAGUCACGUUGACAUUCAACUAUCCCAGACUUCUUUCUGAAGAACCUGAUGAAACUGUUAUGGUUUGUCACCUGGGAGGCCGAGUCAGGGCUGAUGCACAAAACCAACAAAUGACAACAAAACAAGAAAUGACCCUCUUUAAUCAGAAACCAAAAUUUGCGUAUCUCUUGCUGCCC
This is a long non-coding RNA of Mesocricetus auratus (golden hamster), 469 nucleotides long. RefSeq lists it as uncharacterized. The transcript is spliced from 3 exons. NCBI's taxonomy places the organism in Eukaryota, Metazoa, Chordata, Mammalia, Rodentia, Cricetidae. The record is from RefSeq and is a predicted model, not a curated record.